Vicia villosa (hairy vetch) is the source of this 2278-nucleotide long non-coding RNA. RefSeq lists it as uncharacterized. The record is from RefSeq and is a predicted model, not a curated record. Lineage: Eukaryota; Viridiplantae; Streptophyta; Magnoliopsida; Fabales; Fabaceae. The transcript has 5 exons.
CCUAUUGGUGCAGGUAAAUUUUGCGAUAACCCUCGCAAAUAACCCUAUUGGUGCAGGUAAAUUUUGCGAUAACCCUCGCAAAUAACCCUGUUGGCACAGGUAAAUUUUGCGAUAACCCUCGCAAAUAACCCUGUUGGCGCAGGUAAAUUUUGCGAUAACCCUCGCAAAUAACCCUGUUGUUGCAGUCCUUUUCAGGAGCCUUUUCAGGCAGUCUUCUUUAAAGCGUAUUCCAUCCUUUCUAGGAGCUUUUUCAGGCACACAAGAUUUUUAAACCGUUCUUCAAUUGGGUUUAUCACGUUAGUCCCUCGGCAGUGAUAUCUUCCAAAACAUCAUCAACAAACAAUCAAAGGUGCUAUUUUUCUUUUUCAAUAUUUACUAACAUACUUCAACUAACACAACUAACAAUCAUGCAUCAUUCAACUAACACACCUCAUUCAUACAUAGUGCAUAUACAUACAUGGCUCUCAUUUAUUUUGGGAAGCUCACUGCAUCAUACAUUGCAUGCAUCAUAACAUUACAUAAAACUCAGGUUGCCUUUUUAGGCCGUGCUACAACCAAAACACAGUGGUCCCUUUCAAAAGCGUUUGCUCCACACUCUGAAAAAUGGUAUUCACCUCGGUGGCAUCUGUAAGCCCAUCUCCUCCAAAACUUCUUCCCAACAAGGCAAAUUUCAGGGCAUUUCAAUGUUCAAUCAUCUUCUACCUUUAGAUCACGAUAGGCAGACGUGCCUAUCCGACUCUUCAAGUCUAAGAAGAUUGAACAGGGGCAGCUGUCAUACCCCAAAAUUUGCCCGGUCAAUUCAUGUCUUUUAAUUCAUCAAGGAUCAAAAUUAAGAAUCAUGGGGUUUGACAUUCCUAUUGUCAAACCUGCGUUCUUAUAGAAUAUCCUGAGUUAAAAUUAGGGUUAAAGUUAGAAGGUGCGGGAGCCUAGUCAUCUGACCCAUCUGUGCCAUCUUCGAGAUUUUUAGUCCGUUUCACAAUUGAUCAUAUAGCUUAUGAUUUUUUGUCGGACUAUUUCAAUAUUUGAUUUGAUCAUCUUUAAUUAUUAUUAUUAAUUAGCUUGGACUGGUUAUUAGUUUUAAUAUUUGGUGUGAUUAUUUUUUAUUAUUAUUUAUAAAUAUUACUAUUGUUAGGAUUAAUAUUAUUAGGACUAUUAGUAUUAAUCUAAAUAUUAGUAUUAUUAGGAUUUUAUUCUUUUAUAAUUAUUAAGCUAAUUGGGUAAUAGGCCCAUUAGGCAUAGAAAAAAAACCUAAUUUAACUAAUAUAAAUAGGACUAAACCUAACAAUUAAAAAGGGGGGGAGGAGAGAAUUAACCCUAUUCGGUACCACUCUCCAUUCACGUACAAAUUUCCCCUACUUUUUAACAAACGCCACACUGUACAAAAUUCCACAAACGAACUUAUUCUCUUGGAAGAGACCACUUUCCAUGCAACAAUUCCAUCCUGACUUUUCCAACCAUUAUCACCAUCACCGUUACACUACACUCACAGUCAGCUUCCACCAUUGUUUUCCUCUCAAUUUUGCCAACAACCAACGCUCAGCUCUGGGUAUUCGCAAACGACGCAAUUCAGCUAGAAAAAGAAGCACGAUCGCUGCCGCUGAAGACCGCUCCGAUCUGCAACUCACGUGCGUCAAUCGCCGCCGUUAACGACUUCGCAUCACAGCCACGCUUCUGCGAAGAGCAUACCUCCGACAAGGCCACUUGCAACACGCACAACAACACAUCGCAUCAGCAACCUUCCAUCUGCCGUCGGACGUCAUCGCCGAAUCCGCUAUGAAUUGAUCGGACUCCCCCAUCUCCGACGAAACAACCACCACCUGUAAAUCAAUUAACAAGAAUCUAAGCAUCCACUGCUCUUCCUCCGCCUGUUCAUAAGGAGCUAUAUAUCUGAGCACACUGGUUGUUGCUUGCUAUCAACCCUAUAAGAGAAGUGGUAUAUUUUCUGAAUUCGGUAGAUGGUGAGUGGACCAAUUAUCCAGCUAUGAAGGCAAUGAUUGAUACAUCAAUACAAGUGUUCCGAAGUCAACGAGACGCACAGGUAUCCCGGACUAAAUCAAAUAACAUUACUUGGAUCAAAGUGCAGUGUCCGAUCCAGCGAAACAGUUCAGAUUGCAGAUACUAUGUUUUGAGGUUUAUGAAAGAAAUCAUUCAAGCGAAUUAAUUAGAGAUUCCAAUCACGUACUUUGACGACUUCUAUGCUGCUUCUUACACGAGACUUAAGUUGGAAGAAAUCAAAGAGAAUUUGUGUCAAUUUUAUAUUCAUCAACUAUUCAUGUAG